Small nuclear RNA from Grammomys surdaster, 103 nucleotides. Lineage: Eukaryota; Metazoa; Chordata; Mammalia; Rodentia; Muridae. The record is from RefSeq and is a predicted model, not a curated record.
GUGCUCUCUUCGGCAGCACAUUAAAAUUGGAACCUUCCAGAGAGGGUUAGCAUGGCUUCUAAGCAAGGAUGACAUACAAAUUGAAGAACUGUUCUAAAGUUAG